UACGUAGGGUGCGAGCGUUGUCCGGAAUUAUUGGGCGUAAAGGGCGCGUAGGCGGCACUGUUAGUCAGGCGUGAAAUUCCUGGGCUCAACCUGGGGACUGCGCUUGAUACGGCAGAGCUAGAGGAUGGAAGAGGCUCGCGGAAUUCCCAGUGUAGAGGUGAAAUUCGUAGAUAUUGGGAAGAACACCGGUGGCGAAGGCGGCGAGCUGGUCCAUUACUGACGCUGAGGCGCGACAGCGUGGGGAGCAAACAGG
Molecule: ribosomal RNA, 253 nt
Filed under: uncultured bacterium
Lineage: Bacteria
Description: partial 16S ribosomal RNA
Rfam family: Bacterial small subunit ribosomal RNA
Source: RNAcentral